This 469-nucleotide ribosomal RNA is filed under the name uncultured bacterium. RNAcentral describes it as "bacterial SSU rRNA". It matches the Rfam family "Bacterial small subunit ribosomal RNA", at positions 28 to 501 of the family's 1533-position model. The record is from RNAcentral.
GACGAACGCUGGCGGCGUGCUUAACACAUGCAAGUCGAACGGAACUUAUUGGAUCAAGACUUCGGUCAAGUGAAUGUAAGUUUAGUGGCGGACGGGUGAGUAACGCGUGAGGAACCUGCCUUUCAGAGGGGGACAACAGUUGGAAACGACUGCUAAUACCGCAUAACGCAUAGGAGUCGCAUGGCUCUUAUGCCAAAGAUUUAUCGCUGAAAGAUGGCCUCGCGUCUGAUUAGCUAGUUGGUGAGGUAACGGCCCACCAAGGCGACGAUCAGUAGCCGAACUGAGAGGUUGAUCGGCCACAUUGGGACUGAGACACGGCCCAGACUCCUACGGGAGGCAGCAGUGGGGGAUAUUGCACAAUGGGGGAAACCCUGAUGCAGCGACGCCGCGUGAGCGAUGAAGUAUUCGGUAUGUAAAGCUCUAUCAGCAGGAGAAAAUGACGGUACCUGACUAAGAAGCACCGGCUAAA